GACGAACGCUGGCGGCGUGCUUAACACAUGCAAGUCGAGCGGUAAGGCCCUUUCGGGGGUACACGAGCGGCGAACGGGUGAGUAACACGUGGGUGACCUGCCCUCAGCUCUGGGAUAAGCCUGGGAAACCGGGUCUAAUACUGGAUAUGACUCCAUGACGCAUGUUGUGGGGUGGAAAGCCUUGUGCGGCUGAGGAUGGGCCCGCGGCCUAUCAGCUUGUUGGUGGGGUGAUGGCCUACCAAGGCGACGACGGGUAGCCGGCCUGAGAGGGCGACCGGGCCACACUGGGACUGAGACACGGCCCAGACUCCUACGGGAGGCAGCAGUGGGGAAUCUUGCGCAAUGGGCGAAAGCCUGACGCAGCGACGCCGCGUGAGGGAUGAC
RNAcentral lists this ribosomal RNA (384 nucleotides) under uncultured bacterium. Its description in RNAcentral is "bacterial SSU rRNA". It matches the Rfam family "Bacterial small subunit ribosomal RNA", at positions 28 to 412 of the family's 1533-position model. The record is from RNAcentral.